UGCAAGUCGAACGAAGUAGCAAUACUUAGUGGCAGACGGGUGAGUAACAUGUAGGUAUCUGCCCUUUGGCCUGGAAUAACACGAGGAAACUUGUGCUAAUACCGGAUAAGUCUUUACGGAGAAAGCUUUAUGCACCAUUGGAUGAGCCUGCACUUGAUUAGUUUGUUGGUGGGGUAAUGGCCUACCAAGACUGUGAUCAAUAGCUGAUUUGAGAGGAUGAUCAGCCACAUUGGGACUGAGACACGGCCCAAACUCCUACGGGAGGCAGCAGUGGGGAAUCUUGCACAAUGGAGGAAACUCUGAUGCAGCGAUGCCGCGUGAGUGAAGAAGGCCUUUGGGUUGUAAAGCUCUUUCGUCGGGGAAGAAAAUGACUGUACCCGAAUAAGAAGGUCCGGCUAACUUCGUGCCAGCAGCCGCGGUAAUACGAAGGGACCUAGCGUAGUUCGGAAUUACUGGGCUUAAAGAGUUCGUAGGUGGUUGAAAAAGUUAGUGGUGAAAUCCCAGAGCUUAACUCUGGAACUGCCAUUAAAACUUUUCAGCUAGAGUAUGAUAGAGGAAAGCAGAAUUUCUAGUGUAGAGGUGAAAUUCGUAGAUAUUAGAAAGAAUACCAAUUGCGAAGGCAGCUUUCUGGAUCAUUACUGACACUGAGGAACGAAAGCAUGGGUAGCGAAGAGGAUUAGAUACCCUCGUAGUCCAUGCCGUAAACGAUGUGUGUUAGACGUUGGAAAUUUAUUUUCAGUGUCGCAGGGAAACCGAUAAACACACCGCCUGGGGAGUACGACCGCAAGGUUAAAACUCAAAUGAAUUGACGGGGACCCGCACAAGUAGUGGAGCAUGUGGUUUAAUUCGAAGAUACGCGCAGAACCUUACCAACACUUGACAUGUUCGUCGCGACUCUAAGAGAUUAGAGUUUUCGGUUCGGCCGGACGAAACACAGGUGCUGCAUGGCUGUCGUCAGCUCGUGUCGUGAGAUGUUGGGUUAAGUCCCGCAACGAGCGCAACCCUCACUUUUAGUUGCCAUCAUUAAGUUGGGCACUCUGAAAGAACUGCCAGUGAUAAGCUGGAGGAAGGUGGGGAUGACGUCAAGUCCUCAUGGCCCUUACGUGUUGGGCUACACACGUGCUACAAUGGCAUCUACAACAGGAAGCAAAACGGCAACGUUAAGCAAAUCCCGAAAAGAUGCCUCAGUUCGGAUUGCACUCUGCAACUCGAGUGCAUGAAGCUGGAAUUACUAGUAAUCGUGGAUCAGCGUGCCACGGUGAAUGCGUUCCCGGGUCUUGUACACACCGCCCGUCACACCAUGGGAGUUGGUUCUACCUUAAGGCAAGGUUUU
RNAcentral lists this ribosomal RNA (1333 nucleotides) under uncultured Pelagibacterales bacterium. RNAcentral describes it as "bacterial SSU rRNA". It matches the Rfam family "Bacterial small subunit ribosomal RNA". Lineage: Bacteria; Pseudomonadati; Pseudomonadota; Alphaproteobacteria; Candidatus Pelagibacterales. The record is from RNAcentral.